CUCCCUUGUAUAAUCCCAUCAAAAAUCGCUUACAAAAGAAUAUAAACCUGAGGCUUAUAGUCAGAGGUUUACGGUAUGCCUUUGCAGGCUUUGCCCAUGUGGCUUAUGUAGUUGUAAAGACUGUUCACAUGGGCAAUAGAAUAAGAAAGUUAGGAAACUUGAUGCAGACAUAAUGGACUUCAUUAUCUACAUGUUUUUGUCUUGGUUUGUGCAAGAAAUGAUCGUUCAUUGUCACAUGUGUAUUGUAUUUUUGCUAAAGCAACCAAAAGCUACUGCCAUUUGUGUUCAAGGUUGAAGCAUGCAAAAAUUUUCAGGUUUUACGUUUCAACGUAACGUUGCAAAGGAUAUCACGCCCG
Molecule: non-coding RNA, 356 nt
Organism: Paramuricea clavata
Lineage: Eukaryota; Metazoa; Cnidaria; Anthozoa; Malacalcyonacea; Plexauridae
Source: the annotation of a GenBank genome assembly